This 32-nucleotide non-coding RNA is filed under the name Mus musculus (house mouse). The record is from RNAcentral. Lineage: Eukaryota; Metazoa; Chordata; Mammalia; Rodentia; Muridae.
UGGGAUGCUCUAUUCAAAACCAACGUUCGGUU